RNAcentral lists this ribosomal RNA (548 nucleotides) under uncultured Bifidobacterium sp. Its description in RNAcentral is "bacterial SSU rRNA". It matches the Rfam family "Bacterial small subunit ribosomal RNA", at positions 147 to 710 of the family's 1533-position model. The record is from RNAcentral. Lineage: Bacteria; Bacillati; Actinomycetota; Actinomycetes; Bifidobacteriales; Bifidobacteriaceae.
CUCCUGGAAACGGGUGGUAAUGCCGGAUGUUCCAGUUGAUCGCAUGGUCUUCUGGGAAAGCUUUCGCGGUAUGGGAUGGGGUCGCGUCCUAUCAGCUUGACGGCGGGGUAACGGCCCACCGUGGCUUCGACGGGUAGCCGGCCUGAGAGGGUGACCGGCCACAUUGGGACUGAGAUACGGCCCAGACUCCUACGGGAGGCAGCAGUGGGGAAUAUUGCACAAUGGGCGCAAGCCUGAUGCAGCGACGCCGCGUGAGGGAUGGAGGCCUUCGGGUUGUAAACCUCUUUUAUCGGGGAGCAAGCGUGAGUGAGUUUACCCGUUGAAUAAGCACCGGCUAACUACGUGCCAGCAGCCGCGGUAAUACGUAGGGUGCAAGCGUUAUCCGGAAUUAUUGGGCGUAAAGGGCUCGUAGGCGGUUCGUCGCGUCCGGUGUGAAAGUCCAUCGCUUAACGGUGGAUCCGCGCCGGGUACGGGCGGGCUUGAGUGCGGUAGGGGAGACUGGAAUUCCCGGUGUAACGGUGGAAUGUGUAGAUAUCGGGAAGAACACC